CCCCUCUCAGGGUCACACCUGGAGAGUUUCCAGUACUCUACCAGUUUCGGCAAUGGGAGGAAGAGUCAAGCAGAGGCCUACCCAUUCCAUUCCUAGCUGGGGCAGUGGCUAGCGAGUGGGAGGCCACCUACUCCAAGU
Tachyglossus aculeatus (Australian echidna) is the source of this 138-nucleotide small nucleolar RNA. The record is from RefSeq and is a predicted model, not a curated record. Lineage: Eukaryota; Metazoa; Chordata; Mammalia; Monotremata; Tachyglossidae.